Molecule: ribosomal RNA, 254 nt
Filed under: uncultured bacterium
Lineage: Bacteria
Description: partial 16S ribosomal RNA
Rfam family: Bacterial small subunit ribosomal RNA
Source: RNAcentral
UACGUAGGGUGCGAGCGUUGUCCGGAAUUACUGGGCGUAAAGCGCUCGUAGGUGGUUUGUCGCGUUGUUCGUGAAAACUCACAGCUUAACUGUGGGCGUGCGGUCGAUACGGGCAUCACUGGAGUUCGGCAGGGGAGACUGGAAUUCCUGGUGUAGCGGUGAAAUGCGCAGAUAUCAGGAGGAACACCGGUGGCGAAGGCGGGUCUCUGGGCCGAUACUGACGCUGAGGAGCGAAAGCGUGGGUAGCGAACAGG